CGACGCCGCGUGGACGAUGAAGGCCUUCGGGUUGUAAAGUCCUGUCACGGGGCAAGAACGGGUCCGGAGGAUAAUGCCGGGCCUCUGACGUAACCCCGAGAGGAAGCUCUGGCUAAAUUCGUGCCAGCAGCCGCGGUAAUACGAAUGGAGCAAGCGUUGUUCGGAAUCACUGGGCAUUAAGGGCGCGUAGGCGGUCCCGUCAGUCGCAGGUGAAAGCCCACUGCUCAACGGUGGAAGGGCCUGCGAUACUGCGGGACUGGAGUGCGGGAGAGGAGAGCGGAAUUCCAGGUGGAGCGGUGAAAUGCGUAGAUAUCUGGAAGAACACCGGUGGCGAAAGCGGCUCUCUGGUCCGCAACUGACGCUGAGGCGCGAAAGCUAGGGGAGCAAACAGGAUUAGAUACCCUGGUAGUCCUAGCCGUAAACGAUGAGCACUAGGUCGAGGGGCCACCCGAGUGGACUCCCGGCCGACGGGAAACCAUUAAGUGCUCCGCCUGGGGAGUACGGCCGCAAGGCUAAAACUCAAAGGAAUUGACGGGGGCUCGCACAAGCGGUGGAGGAUGUUGUUCAAUUCGAUGCGACGCGCAGAACCUUACCUGGGCUUGACAUGCUGGUAGUACCGAACC
This 623-nucleotide ribosomal RNA is filed under the name uncultured bacterium. RNAcentral describes it as "bacterial SSU rRNA". It matches the Rfam family "Bacterial small subunit ribosomal RNA", at positions 392 to 1002 of the family's 1533-position model. The record is from RNAcentral.